This 774-nucleotide non-coding RNA is filed under the name Junonia evarete fuscescens. The record is from RNAcentral. Lineage: Eukaryota; Metazoa; Arthropoda; Insecta; Lepidoptera; Nymphalidae.
AUAAAAUAAUUAUGUUUUUAGAAAUUUAUUAUAAAUUUAUUUUACAUAUAAAUUUUAGUAUAUGAUUUUAAUUAUUUAAAUAAUAAUUAAUUUAUUUUUGUAGUAAUUAAUAUUAAAAAUUUAAGAAAUUAAGAUUUAGUAAUAUAAAAAUUAAUAACUAAUUUUGUGCCAGCAGUUGCGGUUAAACAAAAGUUAAAUUAAAUUAUUUCAGUAUAUAAUAAAUAAUUAAUUUAUUAAAAUAAAUAUUGAAUUAUUAAGUGAAAUUUUAAUUUAAUUAAAUUUUAUUUUAAAAUUAUGAUUUAAUAAAUUUUAAUAUAAACUAGGAUUAGAUACCCUAUUAUUAAAAAUUUAAUUUAUAAUACUAAAAUAGUAAAUAAUAAUUUAUUGAAACUUAAAUAAUAUGGCGGUAUUUUAGUUCAUUUAGAGGAAUCUGUCUAAUAAUUGAUAAUCCACGAAUAAAUUUACUUAAUUUAUAAUUUUGUAUAUCAUUGUUAAAAAAAUAUUUUUUAGGAAAAAUAAUAUUUAAAAAUUAUAAUAAAAAAUUAAAUCAGAUCAAGAUGCAGAAUAUAAUUAAGAAUAUGAUGGAUUACAUUAAAUAUAUUUAUAUGAAUAAUUUUAUUGUAAUAAAAAUUUGAAGGUGGAUUUAAAUGUAAUUUUAAUUAGUUUAUUAAAAUGAUUAAAAAUUAAAAUAUGUACAUAUUGCCCGUCACUUUCAUUUAAAAAUUGAAAUAAGUCGUAACAAAGUAGAGGUACUGGAAAGUGUUUCUAGAAAGA